RNAcentral lists this ribosomal RNA (552 nucleotides) under Botryosphaeria dothidea. Its description in RNAcentral is "eukaryotic LSU rRNA". The stretch from base 179 to 332 matches the Rfam family "5.8S ribosomal RNA". The record is from RNAcentral. Lineage: Eukaryota; Fungi; Ascomycota; Dothideomycetes; Botryosphaeriales; Botryosphaeriaceae.
CGCCUCCGACUGAUCGGCUCGGAGAUCCUCCACCCUUUGUGUACCUACCUCUGUUGCUUUGGCGGGCCGCGGUCCUCCGCGGCCGCCCCCCUCCCCGGGGGGGUGGCCAGCGCCCGCCAGAGGACCAUCAAACUCCAGUCAGUAAACGAUGCAGUCUGAAAAACAUUUAAUAAACUAAAACUUUCAACAACGGAUCUCUUGGUUCUGGCAUCGAUGAAGAACGCAGCGAAAUGCGAUAAGUAAUGUGAAUUGCAGAAUUCAGUGAAUCAUCGAAUCUUUGAACGCACAUUGCGCCCUUUGGUAUUCCGAAGGGCAUGCCUGUUCGAGCGUCAUUACAACCCUCAAGCUCUGCUUGGUAUUGGGCACCGUCCUUUGCGGGCGCGCCUCAAAGACCUCGGCGGUGGCGUCUUGCCUCAAGCGUAGUAGAACAUACAUCUCGCUUCGGAGCGCAGGGCGUCGCCCGCCGGACGAACCUUCUGAACUUUUCUCAAGGUUGACCUCGGAUCAGGUAGGGGAUACCCGCUGAACUUAAGCAUAUCAAGAAGCGGAGGA